AUGUCGAACACAGGCAAGGAGAUCGUGACGGCAGCAGCGGGAGCGCCGAUGCCGAUGGUGGGGGUGUCGCAAUUCCCCUAUCUGGAUCGGGAAGACUACGCACUAUGGGUGAUGAACAUGGAGGUCGCGAUGGAGGGAGCUGAGUUCUGGGAAGCCGUGGAACCCGGCGGGGCCGAGUACGCGAAGGGCGCGGCGAAGUACCGGAUUGAUCGUCAGGCGUUAACGGCGAUCUACUCCACAAUGCCGAAGGAUGUGCUGCAACACCUCGUCGGAAAGAAGACGGCGAAGGAGGCAUGGGAGACCAUCAAGAUCCUGCACCAGGGUCAUGACCGUGUCAAGGAAGCACACCUUCAGUCCCUGAUGAGAAGCUACGAGUGCCUGAAGAUGGAUGAAAGUGAGACGGUUGAUCAGUUUGCCGCCCGUCUCAAGACCCUCGUCAACGGCAUACGCAGCUAUGGUUCAACCCUAGAAGAAGUUGCGAUCGUCCGGCGAUUUUUGCGUGCCGCGCCGGUCACGUCGAUCGAACAAUGUCUCGACCUGAAAACUCUCACGGUCGAGGAUCUCGUCGGAAGGUUCAAGGCCCAUGAUGAGAGAAUUCGCCUCAGUUUCGGCGACGCGGAGGCAAGUGAGCACCUGAUGCUGACAAAGGCGCAAUGGAUCGCCCUGUCGAAAGAAAAGCAAGGCGGAUCCACGAGCAGCGGCAAGAAGAAGGGGAAAGGGAAGCAGCGCUCAGCGAGAAAGAACUUCGCCAACUCAGACGACGAGGCUGCACCUGAACCACCGAGGAGGAAGUUUGACAUCAGAAAAGUAAGGUGUUAUAAGUGUGGCCUCCUCGGUCACUUCAAGGGUGACUGUGAGGAAGCACCGAAGCAGAAGGCGCUCAUGGUCGAGGAAGGAGACGACGGGGAUAUGAUGCUGAUGUGCGAGCUAGUGGACGAGGAGGAUCCAGAUGAUCUUGGUCAGCUGGACACGGGUCCG
RNAcentral lists this ribosomal RNA (978 nucleotides) under Triticum aestivum (bread wheat). Its description in RNAcentral is "partial small subunit ribosomal RNA". Lineage: Eukaryota; Viridiplantae; Streptophyta; Magnoliopsida; Poales; Poaceae. The record is from RNAcentral.